Molecule: small nuclear RNA, 161 nt
Filed under: Sus scrofa (pig)
Lineage: Eukaryota; Metazoa; Chordata; Mammalia; Artiodactyla; Suidae
Description: U1 spliceosomal RNA (ENSSSCG00070006031.1)
Rfam family: U1 spliceosomal RNA
About the family: U1 is a small nuclear RNA (snRNA) component of the spliceosome (involved in pre-mRNA splicing). Its 5' end forms complementary base pairs with the 5' splice junction, thus defining the 5' donor site of an intron.
Source: RNAcentral
AUACUUACCUGGCAGGGGAGAUACCAUGAUCACGAAGGUGGUUUUCCCAGGGCGAGGCUUAUCCAUUGCACUCCGGAUGUGCUGACCCCGAUUUCCCCAAAUGUGGGAAACUCGACUGCAUAAUUUGUGGUAGUGGGGGACUGCGUUCGCGCUCUCCCCUG